This 493-nucleotide ribosomal RNA is filed under the name uncultured bacterium. RNAcentral describes it as "partial 16S ribosomal RNA". It matches the Rfam family "Bacterial small subunit ribosomal RNA", at positions 28 to 523 of the family's 1533-position model. The record is from RNAcentral.
GUUGAACGCUGGCGGCAUGCUUUACACAUGCAAGUCGAACGGUAACAGGUUAAGCUGACGAGUGGCGAACGGGUGAGUAAUGCAUCGGAACGUGCCCGGUCGUGGGGGAUAACGCAGCGAAAGCUGCGCUAAUACCGCAUACGAUCUGAGGAUGAAAGCGGGGGACCGUAAGGCCUCGCGCGAUCGGAGCAGCCGAUGUCAGAUUAGGUAGGUGGUGGGGUAAAGGCUCACCAAGCCAACGAUCUGUAGCUGGUCUGAGAGGACGACCAGCCACACUGGGACUGAGACACGGCCCAGACUCCUACGGGAGGCAGCAGUGGGGAAUUUUGGACAAUGGGCGAAAGCCUGAUCCAGCAAUGCCGCGUGCAGGAAGAAGGCCUUCGGGUUGUAAACUGCUUUUGUACGGAGCGAAAAGGUCUCCUCUAAUACAGGGGGCUCAUGACGGUACCGUAAGAAUAAGCACCGGCUAACUACGUGCCAGCAGCCGCCGUAA